GCGCUCGUAGCUCAGUUGGAUAGAGCGAUUGACUUCGAAUCAAUAGGUCGGGAGUUCGAGCCUCUCCGGGCGCACCA
RNAcentral lists this transfer RNA (77 nucleotides) under Acidobacteriota bacterium. RNAcentral's name for it is "tRNA-Arg". It matches the Rfam family "tRNA". From Rfam's summary of the family: Transfer RNA (tRNA) molecules are approximately 80 nucleotides in length. Their secondary structure includes four short double-helical elements and three loops (D, anti-codon, and T loops). Lineage: Bacteria; Pseudomonadati; Acidobacteriota. The record is from RNAcentral.